This 1530-nucleotide small RNA is filed under the name Pan troglodytes (chimpanzee). RNAcentral's name for it is "retained intron". The record is from RNAcentral. Lineage: Eukaryota; Metazoa; Chordata; Mammalia; Primates; Hominidae.
GGCGCAGUGGCGGGCACCUGUAGUCCCAGCUACUCGGAAGGCUGAGGCAGGAGAAUGGCAUGAACCCGGGAGGCGGAACUUGCAUUGAGCCGAGAUAGCGCCACUGCACUCCAGCCUGGGCGAAAGAGCAAGACUCCAUCUCAAAAAAAAAGAGGUGGGCAAGAGUCCUCCAGCCCUGGUCCCAGCCUUAGUUUCAGAGGUGAAGGUGCCUGACAUCCUAGGAGGCCCUAAGUGCCUCAGGUGGCCAGUGCACUUGCAAGGAGGCUACAACCAAGUGGGCUCCUUCCAGGCUCCACCUCUGCUCUGCCCUGCCAGCCUUGGAAAUGGCAGCUAGAUCCCCCAGGCCCCGCAGAGCUCCUUAAAUUGGAAGGCAUCCUGGAAGUGCACUGAGGACAGCAUGUGUAUAUCGGGAUGGCCAUAUUUGCCCUAUGGCUGGUCACACAAGAUGUUGAGUGGUGUAGCUGAAGUCCCUUUGCUGUGGGAGGCAGCAGUGAACAGCAGAAGUUGUGGGCUUAGGUUUUGGUUACAGACUUGCCAGCUGUGCUGACUUCAGGCCAAUGAAUUCCCCUCUCUGAGGCUCAGUUUCUUCAUUUCUAAAGUGAGGAUAAUAAUGGUACCAUUUUUCUGAGCUGCAAGUUGCUGUGUUCCAUGUGAUGCUAUCCACACUUAACAAAGCCCAUGGUCAGUCUCUGCUUGCGUUCCCACCCUUCACUCUUGUUCUCUAACCAGUUGCUCCAGCUGCACAGUUCUUUGGUCGCCUUGCUGAUCUGCAGAUUUCUUUGGCUUAUUCCUGUGGCUCCUUGGAGAUUCUUGGCAUGAUGAGAUCCCCAGUCCAGGAGAGGCUGGCAGCCCCCUGGCGGGGUGGAACAUGACAGGUUGGGGUAUGCCCAGGAUCUGAUUGAGUGCUUUCACCUAGGAAACUGGAGGCGACCAGUGCCCAGAAUAUCGAGUUCCUACAGGUGAUUGCCAAGAGGGAGGAGGCAAUCCACCAGUCCCAGCUGCGGCUGGAGGAGAAAACACGGGAAUGUGGGACCCUGGCAAGGCAGUUGGAGAGCGCCAUUGAAGAUGCGAGGAGGCAGGUGGAACAAACCAAGGAGCACGCACUCUCCAAGGAGCGAGCAGCCCAGAACAAAAUCCUGGACCUUGAGACCCAGCUGAGCAGAACCAAAACGGAACUGAGCCAGCUGCGGCGGAGCCGUGAUGAUGCGGACCGCCGCUACCAGAGCCGGCUGCAAGACCUGAAAGAUCGCCUGGAGCAGUCCGAGAGCACCAACCGCAGCAUGCAGAACUACGUCCAGUUCCUCAAAUCAUCAUACGCCAACGUGUUUGGGGAUGGUCCCUAUUCCACCUUCCUGACCAGCUCUCCCAUCCGCUCCCGAUCUCCUCCUGCCUGAGGCCACCUAUCGGGGCCUGGAGCCCUGAUGGAAGCCAUAGGAACUCCAGAGUUGCCAAGCCAUAGCUGAGAAGCCUGGUGGUUUUCCUCUCCCAGUGAUAAAAUGGGUUCAGGGUCUUGUCCUUAGCUACUAGCUC